Molecule: ribosomal RNA, 1370 nt
Filed under: uncultured bacterium
Lineage: Bacteria
Description: bacterial SSU rRNA
Rfam family: Bacterial small subunit ribosomal RNA
Source: RNAcentral
CAUGCAAGUCGAACGAAGGCUUCGGCCUUAGUGGCGCACGGGUGCGUAACGCGUGGGAAUCUGCCCCUUGGUUCGGAAUAACAGUUGGAAACGACUGCUAAUACCGGAUGAUGACGUAAGUCCAAAGAUUUAUCGCCGAGGGAUGAGCCCGCGUAGGAUUAGGUAGUUGGUGUGGUAAAGGCGCACCAAGCCGACGAUCCUUAGCUGAUCUGAGAGGAUGACCCCCCACACUGGUACUGAGACACGGACCAGACUCCUACGGGAGGCAGCAGUAAGGAAUAUUGGUCAAUGGAGGCAACUCUGAACCAGCCAUGCCGCGUGCAGGAAGACAGCCCUCUGGGUCGUAAACUGCUUUUAUUCGGGAAUAAACCUUUCUACGUGUAGAGAGCUGAAUGUACCGAAGGAAUAAGGAUCGGCUAACUCCGUGCCAGCAGCCGCGGUAAUACGGAGGAUCCAAGCGUUAUCCGGAUUUAUUGGGUUUAAAGGGUGCGUAGGCGGCUUAUUAAGUCAGGGGUGAAAGACGGUGGCUCAACCAUCGCAGUGCCUUUGAUACUGAUGAGCUUGAAUGAACUAGAGGUAGGCGGAAUGUGACAAGUAGCGGUGAAAUGCAUAGAUAUGUCACAGAACACCGAUUGCGAAGGCAGCUUACUAUGGUUUUAUUGACGCUGAGGCACGAAAGCGUGGGGAUCAAACAGGAUUAGAUACCCUGGUAGUCCACGCCCUAAACGAUGAAUACUCGCUGUUAGCGAUACACAGUUAGCGGCUAAGCGAAAGCGUUAAGUAUUCCACCUGGGGAGUACGCCCGCAAGGGUGAAACUCAAAGGAAUUGACGGGGGCCCGCACAAGCGGAGGAGCAUGUGGUUUAAUUCGAUGAUACGCGAGGAACCUUACCCGGGCUUGAAAGUUAGUGAAUGAUUUAGAGAUAGAUCAGUGAGCAAUCACACGAAACUAGGUGCUGCAUGGCUGUCGUCAGCUCGUGCCGUGAGGUGUUGGGUUAAGUCCCGCAACGAGCGCAACCCCUAUGUUUAGUUGCCAGCACGUUAAGGUGGGGACUCUAAACAGACUGCCUGUGCAAACAGAGAGGAAGGAGGGGACGACGUCAAGUCAUCACGGCCCUUACGUCCGGGGCUACACACGUGCUACAAUGGAUGGUACAGAGGGCAGCAAGCUGGCAACAGCAAGCAAAUCUCAAAAAGCCAUUCACAGUUCGGAUAGAGGUCUGCAACUCGACCUCUUGAAGUUGGAUUCGCUAGUAAUCGCGUAUCAGCAAUGACGCGGUGAAUACGUUCCCGGGCCUUGUACACACCGCCCGUCAAGCCAUGGGAGUCGGGGAGACCUGAAGCGGUAGGUAAAGACACCGUAGGUAAUCG